Molecule: long non-coding RNA, 2529 nt
Organism: Candoia aspera
Lineage: Eukaryota; Metazoa; Chordata; Lepidosauria; Squamata; Candoiidae
Exons: 2
Source: RefSeq, a predicted model, not a curated record
CAUAAUGACAUCUAUUAGCUUCUGCAACAAUACAGCAGACCUAAUUACCUGUUGAUGGUGCAAAUUGUUUGCUACCCCAGUGGAUAGAUGCAACAUGUAGAAAAUAAACAAAAGGUACAUUUUCUUCAUACAAAAAGCACCAAUUGAAACAAAAAGGAAAUCCAGUCAUUUAGUAAAUCUAUGAGUAAAAGCAAUAAUUGUACCACAAGAUUUUAAGACUAUGAAAUGCAGAUCAUUGGGGGAGGGGGGACAGUGAAAUUAGGAUUAUUUAAGUUAUCUUUCCAGUGAGUUAAUAUAUAAAAUUUAAUUUCAAAUAGUUUUUGAAAAUGCGAUUAUUUGGUUCAUGGGUAAUGAGGAUUGCACAUGUGAUUCAGACAAAUUCGAAAUCAUGAUCCAAUCCAUGACUGAGGUCAAUGAAGAUUCAUGCAAGGAGAGCCAAUCUGAGCAAGAUCAUCUGUGAGUGCUUCGAGUUGCUGGAGAGAGACAGGUGCUGUCUACAAAAUCUACUGUUUUGUUUCCAUAACCACCAAGUUGGGGAGAGAAGGAAAGGAGAGCAGAGCAUUGUGUCAAGAGACUGACCUGUCUCCCUUCUAAUCACAGGAUGACUUCAUCAGGGCCCUUCCAAGUAGAAAUUCUCUGCCUAAAGCAACCUGGAGACCACUGAGUGCUCAUUGUAAGAUUUUAAGGACAUCUCCAAAUCAAAAUAUUUGCCAAAGGAGAACAUUCAUUUUUUUAAUGAAGUAUCACCUAACCAAAAUAUUUGGUUAAACAAGUACUUUAAACUUGUAUUUUAAACAAGAAUCCCGAUAAGACAAAGUUGAAUGAUAGAUGCUGAGAAUGGAUUAACGUUUUAGUAUCCUAAAUUUGUAAAGACUCUCUUCACACAAAACUCCUGAAAGAAAAGAGUACACCUGCAAAUGUCAUUAAAUUCUUCCUGCAGGCAUCAAAGUUAUUGACACUUUAAAAAAAAUUAAAAGAGCUUCACUGGAUCUCUUUUUGAAAUUGAAUAGGCUUCACCCUAAGAGGGUCCUACUGUGCCUGUAAAGUUCAUCAGUUCUGGCAAAAAGUAACAGAAUAUUGACCUUUGUUUUUGCUGCUCAGUGGGAAGUACAACUCUAGCUUUAGAUUAAUCCUGCAUCAAAUUGGGCAGCCUCUUUUCAUUCUGAGUAAGAGUGAGCUAUUGUCUGAAGUACUGAAUGGGGCCCCCAAAUCAACAUUUGUGGUGUAUGCACACUUUUAGGAGACAUGUUUCUACAUACUGAAAACAUGUACAAGAUGUAUUACAAGUUAAUGGUUUAAAUGUAUCCAAGCCAGAUUUUUAUAGCAGAGUUAAAUUCAGUAUAUGGUUCAUCUAUCUGAUGGGCUUUGUGUGGUCAUUCAUGGGGAAGGGGAGAAAGAAGAGGUGCAAAUGACAAGACAGGUGCAACAUCAUCACACAAGUAUUGCCAUUUAUAUAUUUGAAUCAGAGAUUGGGGUUCAAGUGUGUCAGCAUGGCAUUUGGUUGAUGAUGCCACUAUGGAUGUCCUUCUGGCUUCAUCACAGUUUGCUGCAGGUGAUGCUGGAGUUUGUAUAUCAUUAACAAGAAGGCUGUGUUGGUCUCUCAGUGAGAAAAUGAAAAGAGACACAGUGAUUGGAAGUGAUCAACUUGCAAUCUUAGGUCAGGGGUGGAGACCUUGAGGCCCACAGCCUCAUGAGGCCCCUGAAAGCUUUGGAGGCAGCUCCCAGCAUCCUUACAAAAGGGCCACCAACAUGUAACUUUUAAUCUAACAAAAGGGAUACUCUUAAAUAUAUUGGGAAUAAUCAUAUUAGUUGCAUUGAAUUUUAAUUAUAUAUACAUUAAAUUAACUUAAUUUUGGAUUUUUUGUCCUAGCCUUGCCCACUUCUUUGUUCUGGCCCUACAUUCAUUCUGGAGUAGUGGCUCUCCAGCAUGCUCUUCAAAAGCCAAAUGUGGACCUCAGGCUCAAAAAACUUGUGCACCCAUGGUUUCUAACACAGCUUCUCCAAGAAUGAGAAUGUGAAACUCAACUUUGAUGUGCACAUGUCUCCUGAAUUCUUUGGUUCUUUGUCCUUCCAUAUGGUGGUCUCCUCCUCCAGAUGAUGUUGUGUUGUGGCACUUCAUUUUCCAGCUCAUGAAUUUUGUAGGGUACAUCCAGUGUGUUACCUUCUGGCUGCUCUAUGGUUACAUUAGAACUGGAUUUAUUUACCUUGGCAACAACUGGUGGACCUGUUGUUCUAUGUGGUGUAUGAUCCUCAACAGAUGUUGCAAGGGUGGGAGCGAUGUCCUCUUCAAUGUCAUUAACUGUUGAGUUUCCAUGUCCUGUUUCAUUAGUGAACAUACCACAAGACUUGCAACACAGUUUAUUAUAUCCAGGAAUGGUACAGUAUUGAUGGAGAACUUCCAUGCGACAAAACAUUGAUCUGUCUCCUUGGCAAUGUUCUGCUGGAAGAGAAAAACAAAUUUAAGUGUAUGCUAUAUAUCUAAAAUGGAAUCAAAUAAACUUGGCCUUAAGAGGCCCUUGCAUACAAUAA